Astatotilapia calliptera (eastern happy) is the source of this 1610-nucleotide long non-coding RNA. NCBI's taxonomy places the organism in Eukaryota, Metazoa, Chordata, Actinopteri, Cichliformes, Cichlidae. The record is from Ensembl.
AAGACUGAGACCAGCCAGAUUCAGAAGACUGUGAGCUGCCUAAAGCCGCAACCAAACAGCUUUCCAAACAAUGAUCUGGACCUGAAACAUCCAGAGCCUGAAAGGGAUCUUGAUGAAGAAAUGCCUCAGCAAGGCUCAGAAGCCAUGCAUUCUUCUUCAGUGCAAGAUUUUGAAGAGACUGAGACCAGCCAGAUUCAGAAGACUGUGAGCUGCCUAAAGCCGCAACCAAACAGCUUUCCAAACAAUGAUCUGGACCUGAAACAUCCAGAGCCUGAAAGGGAUCUUGAUGAAGAAAUGCCUCAGCAAGGCUCAGAAGCCAUGCAUUCUUCUUCAGUGCAAGAUUUUGAAGAGACUGAGACCAGCCAGAUUCAGAAGACUGUGAGCUGCCUAAAGCCGCAACCAAACAGCUUUCCAAACAAUGAUCUGGACCUGAAACAUCCAGAGCCUGAAAGGUGUCACAAUCAUCGUCUGGUGUGCACAACAAUAUCAUCUUUGGACAAGUGCAUUCAGUGUGUGGGACUGGUUUCCUCCCUCAAGUGGCUUGGCUAUAAGUGCAAAGAUGAAAUUGCAUUAAGUGAUGCUGAAACAAAGGACAGUGAGAGUGAAUCAGAUGAUGAUGACACAGCACUCACAAUGUCGGCGUGUGGCACCAGUGAGCCUGUACAUGCAGUAGCUGAUUCCACAAACACAGCGCAGCUCCAAGACACUGUAGAUUGUGAUGAAGGACCACUCACAAUGCCUGCAGCAAGUGAGACUGCUGCUCCCUCUGAAGGUAAGGGGUGCAGUUGGUUCUCUAAGCUUAUUAUUGUUUCAUCACUUUGCAACAUAUGGCAAACUGCAGAGUGGUGGCAAAAAGUCCCUUGGAUGAGUGACAAAAUGUUUCUCCCACUGAAAACGCUACGUCCAGAUUAACAGAAUCAACGUUUUGGGAUUUACUUACCUGGAUGAUUGAGCAUGCAUCAAGAGACUUUUAUUCAACUUUUUAUUCAGUCUUUUAUUCACAGUGGAACGCUAAAUGUUGUCUCAUUUUAGAAAUUUGAUAAAUUUUCAAAGAGAAUUUUAGCUCGUUUUGAUAUUGAUGGUAGCAACACAUUUCAGAAGUUAGUACAGGGUAGCAUCCAUUCUUUUAGCAAGCAAAUGUUUUUUGUUUUUUUUGUUUGUUUUUUUGUUUGUUUUAACUACUACUACUUUAUAUAUCUUCCAGAGAAAAAUGCUGCUCAAUCCCACAAUUCCCGAAGAGCUCCCAAAAACAUGUGGUCCAAGGCUGAGGUUGCUGCAGUGAUGAGGCAUUUUAAAGACCACAUAAACGAAGGGAAACUAGCCACCAAAAAUGAAUGCAGUCAUUGCAAAUUGGUAGAAGAUCCGGUGUUGGCAGGAAGAACAGUUCAAAACAUAAGAGAUUUUGUAAGAAACAGAGGAUUAACUGCAAAAAGGCAGAAAAAAAUGAACUAAAAUAACUGUUUAGCCAGAUGUGGUUUUACAUCUUGGUCAGAUUGCCAAUUGUUGUUAACACUGAUGUUCUGUUUAAAGAAAAAAAAAAGUUCUUGUUAAAUGUUUGUAUUUCAUAAUUUUUACAUUUAAUUUAUUUAGGGUUUUUUUUGACGGGUUAU